GACGAACGCUGGCGGCGUGCUUAACACAUGCAAGUCGAACGAAGAGCGAUGGAAUCUUGCUUCUAUCACUCUUAGUGGCGAACGGGUGAGUAACGCGUAAUCAACCUGCCCUUCAGAGGGGGACAACAGUUGGAGACGACUGCUAAUACCGCAUACGAUCUAACCUCGGCAUCGAGGAUAGAUGAAAGGUGGCCUCUACAUGUAAGCUCUCACUGAAGGAGGGGAUUGCGUCUGAUUAGCUAGUUGGAGGGGUAACGGCCCACCAAGGCGAUGAUCAGUAGCCGGUCUGAGAGGAUGAACGGCCACAUUGGGACUGAGACACGGCCCAGACUCCUACGGGAGGCAGCAGUGGGGAAUCUUCCGCAAUGGACGAAAGUCUGACGGAGCAACGCCGCGUGAGUGAUGACGGCCUUCGGGUUGUAAAGCUCUGUUAAUCGGGACGAAAGGCCUUCUUGCGAAUAGUGAGAAGGAUUGACGGUACCGGAAUAGAAAGCCACGGCUAACUACGUG
RNAcentral lists this ribosomal RNA (510 nucleotides) under uncultured bacterium. RNAcentral's name for it is "partial 16S ribosomal RNA". It matches the Rfam family "Bacterial small subunit ribosomal RNA", at positions 28 to 507 of the family's 1533-position model. The record is from RNAcentral.